AAACUUUCAACAACGGAUCUCUUGGUUCCGGCAUCGAUGAAGAACGCAGCGAAAUGCGAUAAGUAAUGUGAAUUGCAAAAUUCCGUGAAUCAUCGAAUCUUUGAACGCACAUUGCGCCCUCUGGUAUUCCGGGGGGCAUGCCUGUUCGAGCGUCAU
RNAcentral lists this ribosomal RNA (156 nucleotides) under Trichophyton benhamiae. RNAcentral's name for it is "5.8S ribosomal RNA". It matches the Rfam family "5.8S ribosomal RNA". Rfam says of the family: 5.8S ribosomal RNA (5.8S rRNA) is a component of the large subunit of the eukaryotic ribosome. Lineage: Eukaryota; Fungi; Ascomycota; Eurotiomycetes; Onygenales; Arthrodermataceae. The record is from RNAcentral.